Protopterus annectens (West African lungfish) is the source of this 1538-nucleotide long non-coding RNA. RefSeq lists it as uncharacterized. The record is from RefSeq and is a predicted model, not a curated record. The transcript has 4 exons. NCBI's taxonomy places the organism in Eukaryota, Metazoa, Chordata, Ceratodontiformes, Protopteridae.
UGUGUGUUUAUUUUUACUUUUUUAAUGUUCAGUGGUAAAUGGGGUGCUGUGUACAGUAUUUGAAUCUGUAAUGGGGUGCAGUACAGUAUUUGAAUCUGUAGUGGUUGUUUUGGGAUAUGCAAGUAGUAGAUUUUAAAGGUGUAAAAGGCAUAUAUAUAAUUAUAUAUUUUAAUAUUUAUUAAUUAUAUAUAUAAUUAUCUUUAUUUUUGGGUUUGCGCCUUACCUUAUUAUUUGACUCUAUAGUGAUUGUUUUGGAAUGAUUUGCAAGCAGUAGUUUUUAAAGGUGAAAAUGAGCAUGUAUAUAACUUUUUUUUUAACUUCUGGUGGUGGCAGUGUUCAGGGAUAAAUGCAGUACAUUUGAUAUAUCACUGAUAGAUGUUAUUGUGACUGUUUCAGGAUUAGUAUGUUUUUGUAGAUGGAAAUGUUUUGCAAUUGUUUGCACUUUUUGAGUGGAAAUAUGUGUAUUUUAUUUUUUAAUGCUGUCUUCAAGAAGUUAAAAUGUACUGCUUUGGGUAUUUUUUACAGUGGUUUAGUGGUGACUUGCAAGAACUACCUUUAAAGUGAAAAUGUGUGCAUAUAAAUUUAUUUUGGGGUGUGUUCAGAGGUAAACAUAGUGCAUUUGACAUUCUUCUAGUACAUGCUGUCGUGACUGUCUCAGGAUAGCUUGUGGAAAUUUGUGUUUUUUAUUUUUUUAACACUCACUUCAAGAAGUUUCAUAUGCACUGCUUUGGGUAUAGUGUGAAUAUUUCUAUACUGCUGUUAGGCCUUUUAUGUAUUUAUUUCUUCCUUGUGCUGGGUAAAUUACAACUAUAGGUUUUAUUUCCUUUUUUCUUAUUAUUUGCUGUAUUCGUAGAUAAAUGGUGUCCUUGGGGUCUGCUGUGCAUUGCAGUUUACAGCACCUGUUUAGUGAUGACUUGCAAGAAGUACUUUUAAAAGUGAUAAAAAUGCUUUGUGUGUCAGGGGAAGCUGUUGUGGAUUUGGAGAGGUCAUGACAUCAAGGCGGAAGCAGAAUGAAGAUUUCCGGAGUCUGUGGAAUCUUACGAUGAUGUAGCCACAGAUUACAAGUCUUGGAAGAGGGCUGGCACCAUGUGGUUGAAGUUCCCAGGGCAGAGCAAACUUUUUCAGGUAAUACCAAUCCCUUCCGAUCUUAUAAUGCAGGCAGAGCAAAACCUGCAAAUAAAAUGAAGGUGCGAGUGCCGUCAAUGGAAUCUGUUCUGCUGUAGGAAUGCUGCAGGAACACUUACAGCAGAGUGCGUAGGUUACAAAAUAAAAAUAAUAACGGUCAGUGAGCUCAUAUAAUUCUAAUGUACUAGUACGUUUAUAGAUCUCCAAAAUGUCACUAUGAAAGGAGGAUUUAAAAGGAAUUCUUACCCCAUUUAUGGACAUCAGUUCUACCACCCAGGAUUCAAACAGCAUGUCAUCACAAUCGCUUGUUUUAAUUGUUACACUGCUUGCUGUUAUGUAAUACACAUUUUCCAGCUUGGAACUCUAUGUUAAUAUUGAAAUAUAAUAAAUGUACUUUACUUUGAAUAUUGUAA